CAGAUGAGGAGCUUGCUCCUCUGACGUUAGCGGCGGACGGGUGAGUAACACGUGGAUAACCUACCUAUAAGACUGGGAUAACUUCGGGAAACCGGAGCUAAUACCGGAUAAUAUAUUGAACCGCAUGGUUCAAUAGUGAAAGACGGUUUUGCUGUCACUUAUAGAUGGAUCCGCGCCGCAUUAGCUAGUUGGUAAGGUAACGGCUUACCAAGGCAACGAUGCGUAGCCGACCUGAGAGGGUGAUCGGCCACACUGGAACUGAGACACGGUCCAGACUCCUACGGGAGGCAGCAGUAGGGAAUCUUCCGCAAUGGGCGAAAGCCUGACGGAGCAACGCCGCGUGAGUGAUGAAGGUCUUCGGAUCGUAAAACUCUGUUAUUAGGGAA
RNAcentral lists this ribosomal RNA (386 nucleotides) under uncultured Staphylococcus sp. Its description in RNAcentral is "bacterial SSU rRNA". It matches the Rfam family "Bacterial small subunit ribosomal RNA", at positions 70 to 446 of the family's 1533-position model. Lineage: Bacteria; Bacillati; Bacillota; Bacilli; Caryophanales; Staphylococcaceae. The record is from RNAcentral.